GUUUGGGUUCUUCUCGUUGUUGUUAUUGGCGUCCAAUUUCUUCUCACAUACAAGCUUGUCUAGGGGUUUUCUGUUAUUUUUGCUAACAAUUUUUUUUCAUAUCCCAUGUUAGGAUCAAUGUAAGCUAGAGGUUGAAAAUUUCAUAUCUGAAUAACUUAUCGUUAUCUGGAAAGUUACUUUUCACGACGGAUCUUGAUUGUUUCUGUGCGGCUUCUUUCUUUCAUA
RNAcentral lists this long non-coding RNA (225 nucleotides) under Mytilus galloprovincialis (Mediterranean mussel). Lineage: Eukaryota; Metazoa; Mollusca; Bivalvia; Mytilida; Mytilidae. The record is from RNAcentral.